This 106-nucleotide small RNA is filed under the name Marmota monax (woodchuck). Lineage: Eukaryota; Metazoa; Chordata; Mammalia; Rodentia; Sciuridae. The record is from RNAcentral.
GCUGUGUGUGGCAGUGCACACCUGUAAUCCCAGUCAUUAGGAGGCUGAGGCAGGAGGAUCACAAAUUUAAGGCCAGCCUGGGCAACUUGGUGAGACCCUCUCUCAA